UCCUACGGGACGCAGCAGUGAGGAAUUUUCGGCAAUGGGGGCAACCCUGACCGAGCAACGCCGCGUGCAGGAGGACGCUUUUCGGAGUGUAAACUGCUUUUAUCGGGGAAGAACAUAGACGGUACCCGGUGAAUAAGCCCCGGCUAACUACGUGCCAGCAGCCGCGGUAAUACGUAGGGGGCGAGCGUUGUCCGGAGUUACUGGGCGUAAAGGGCAUGUAGGCGGUCUGCCAAGUUCGGAGUGACAGUCACCAGCUUAACUGGUGAAGGACUUUGAAAACUGGCGGACUUGAGAGCGAAAGAGGGACACGGAAUUCCGGGUGGAGCAGUGAAAUGCGUAGAGAUCCGGAGGAACACCAAAGGCGAAGGCAGUGUCCUGGCUCGUUUCUGACGCUGAGGUGCGAAAGCCAGGGGAGCGAACGGGAUUAGAUACCCCGGU
This 438-nucleotide ribosomal RNA is filed under the name uncultured bacterium. RNAcentral describes it as "bacterial SSU rRNA". It matches the Rfam family "Bacterial small subunit ribosomal RNA", at positions 337 to 791 of the family's 1533-position model. The record is from RNAcentral.